RNAcentral lists this ribosomal RNA (367 nucleotides) under uncultured bacterium. Its description in RNAcentral is "bacterial SSU rRNA". It matches the Rfam family "Bacterial small subunit ribosomal RNA", at positions 527 to 896 of the family's 1533-position model. The record is from RNAcentral.
GUAGGUGGCAAGCGUUGUCCGGAUUUAUUGGGUUUAAAGGGUGCGUAGGCGGCUUUGUAAGUCAGUGGUGAAAUAUGGCAGCUCAACUGUCAAGGCGCCAUUGAUACUGCGGAGCUUGAGUACAGAUGAGGUAGGCGGAAUUGACGGUGUGGCGGUGAAAUGCUUAGAUAUCGUCAAGAACACCUAUAGCGAAGGCAGCUUACUAGGCUGUAACUGACGCUGAGGCACGAAAGUGUGGGGAUCAAACAGGAUUAGAUACCCUGGUAGUCCACACUGUAAACGUUGAUUACUCGCUGUGUGCGAUAUACAGUACGCGGCCAAGCGAAAGCGCUAAGUAAUCCACCUGGGGAGUACGCCGGCAACGGUG